GAGAAUCUGCAUGGCCGAAAGCCUCAGGUUUCUGGAGGAAGGUUCGCCCGCUCCAGGUUAGUCGGGAGCUAAGGUGAGGCCUAACGGCGUAGCCGAUGCACAGACGGUAGAGAUUCCGUCACCACCAAAAGAGUUAAACACAGGGACACAUUUGAAGUCUCGGAGCCGGGUGUUGGUUCCGGUAGCGAUCGAGGGAAGUUAGUACCUAUGUCCGGGAUGGAAGAUGGCGAGAAGAGCUGUGUGUAUUUCUGCGGUGCCCGUACCGCAAACCGACACAGGUAGGUAGGAAGAAGAUUCUAAGGCCAACGGGAGAAGGGUUGUUAAGGAACUCGGCAAAUUGACCCCGUAACUUCGGGAGAAGGGGUGCUCCAGCGAUGGAGCCGCAGAGAAUCGGCCCAAGCAACUGUUUACCAAAAACACAGGUUUGUGCUAAAUCGAAAGAUGACGUAUACGAGCUGACGCCUGCCCGGUGCUGAAGGUUAAGAGGAGAUGUGCAAGCAUUGAAUCGAAGCCCCAGUGAACGGCGGCCGUAACAAUAACGGUCCUAAGGUAGCGAAAUUCCUUGUCAGGUAAGUUCUGACCCGCAUGAAAGGCGUAAUGAUUUGGGCACUGUCUCGACGGCCCGCCCGGCGAAAUUGUAGUACCGGUGAAGAUGCCGGUUACCCGCGACAAGACGGAAAGACCCCAUGGAGCUUUACUGUAGCCUAAUAUUGGGUUUCGAUGUUGCAUGCACAGGAUAGAUGGGACACUGGGAAGUGAUCGCUUUGGCGGUCAUGGAGUGGCCGUUGGGAUACCAUCCUUGCGAUAUUGGAAUUCUAACCUGCGCCUUUGAAUCAAGGCGGGGGACAUUGUUAGGUGGGCAGUUUGACUGGGGCGGUCGCCUCCUAAAGAGUAACGGAGGCGUUCAAAGGUUCGCUUAGCUUGAACGGAAAUCAAGCAAAAGAGUGCAAACGCAGAAGCGAGCCUAACUGCGAGACUAACGGGUCGAGCAGUAACGAAAGUUGGAGUUAGUGAUCCGGUGGUAUGUGAGUGGAAAUGCCAUCGCUCAACGGAUAAAAGUUACCCUGGGGAUAACAGGCUGAUCUCCCCCAAGAGUCCACAUCGACGGGGAGGUUUGGCACCUCGAUGUCGGCUCAUCGCAUCCUGGGGCUGUAUUCGGUCCCAAGGGUUUGGCUGUUCGCCAAUUAAAGCGGUACGCGAGCUGGGUUCAGAACGUCGUGAGACAGUUCGGUCCCUAUCUGUCAUGGGCGCAGGAUAUUUGAUGGGAGCUGUUCCUAGUACGAGAGGACCGGAGCGGACGUACCUCUGGCGCACCAGUUGUUCUGCCAAGAGCAUAGCUGGGCAACUAUGUACGGAUCGGAUAAACGCUGAAAGCAUCUAAGCGUGAAGCCGACCCAAAGAUAAGAUAUCCCACUGAUUUGAUCAGGUAAGAUCCCUUGAAGACUACAAGGUUGAUAGGCACAAUGUGUAAGUGGAGUGAUCCAUUCAGCAAGCGUGUACUAAUAGAUCGAGGGCUUGACCG
RNAcentral lists this ribosomal RNA (1522 nucleotides) under metagenome. Its description in RNAcentral is "bacterial LSU rRNA". It matches the Rfam family "Bacterial large subunit ribosomal RNA", at positions 1323 to 2925 of the family's 2925-position model. The record is from RNAcentral.